RNAcentral lists this ribosomal RNA (466 nucleotides) under uncultured bacterium. Its description in RNAcentral is "partial 16S ribosomal RNA". It matches the Rfam family "Bacterial small subunit ribosomal RNA", at positions 28 to 523 of the family's 1533-position model. The record is from RNAcentral.
GAUGAACGCUGGCGGCGUGCCUAACACAUGCAAGUCGAGCGAACACUUCGGGGUGAGCGGCGGACGGGUGAGUAACGCGUGGGUAACCUGCCCUGUACACACGGAUAACAUACCGAAAGGUCUGCUAAUACGAGAUAAUAUACUUUAAUCGCAUGGUUAAGAUAUCAAAGCUACGGCGGUACAGGAUGGACCCGCGUCUGAUUAGCUAGUUGGUAAGGUAAUGGCUCACCAAGGCGACGAUCAGUAGCCGACCUGAGAGGGUGAUCGGCCACACUGGAACUGAGACACGGUCCAGACUCCUACGGGAGGCAGCAGUGGGGAAUAUUGCACAAUGGGCGAAAGCCUGAUGCAGCAACGCCGCGUGAGCGAUGAAGGCCUUCGGGUCGUAAAGCUCUGUCCUCAAGGAAGAUAAUGACGGUACUUGAGGAGGAAGCCCCGGCUAACUACGUGCCAGCCGCCGCGGUAA